Oncorhynchus nerka (sockeye salmon) is the source of this 466-nucleotide long non-coding RNA. RefSeq lists it as uncharacterized. Lineage: Eukaryota; Metazoa; Chordata; Actinopteri; Salmoniformes; Salmonidae. The transcript is spliced from 3 exons. The record is from RefSeq and is a predicted model, not a curated record.
UCCUAAAAGUGUCGGCUGUUGUCAUUCUUGUUGCUUCAAGUUCAGUAGCCAUACAUGUCGUGCGAAAGUGGUCUCAAUUAAGUAGUCGGCUAGCUUAUGCAUGGGCGGAGAAACACCAGGCAGUUGUCUUUACUAAAUAUGAUUAGGCUAUAGUUUACUACAUUGCCUAUAAAUAAAUAUUAACACCCAUAUUUUUCUCCGCCUGAAAAUCGUCCCACUCCUAAACGGGCGCAUAAUUGCUGGGACCAUGGCUGGCAAGUGAGCUGCGUCACAUAUGCCUAAACGUUGCGGGACUGGUUGGGUUUGGGACCAGUUCCUGCGGUAACAGGUAACCUCAAGAUGCUUGACUCACUACAGCUGCUUUUGAAGAACGUUCCAGUUGUUUGUGCUUUACAUUCCGACUUUUUAAUGUCUGUUUAUUGGACGUAUAUAUUAGUGUCUAAUAAAAAAGAGCAAUGUAGGUAAA